Oncorhynchus kisutch (coho salmon) is the source of this 2944-nucleotide long non-coding RNA. RefSeq lists it as uncharacterized. Lineage: Eukaryota; Metazoa; Chordata; Actinopteri; Salmoniformes; Salmonidae. The record is from RefSeq and is a predicted model, not a curated record. The transcript is spliced from 2 exons.
CCCGAAAUACUGUUGUUGCAGACAGCCAACCAUUAUUUACAAUGAGUUGAAAAUCGUUGCGAUAUGAGUCAAGGUUGAGCGCUUGUUGAUGACAUCACUCGCGAGGCUUUCGUCGCCACGGAAAUGAUGUCGUGACUGGGGGUAAUGGAGAAAAUGCUUCGUGUCUUUUAGAAGGAAAAUGCGUGCAUUAUUGUUGAGUUACUUUUAAGAAGUUGAUAAAAAUGUCGAAAUACAUUUUUAAAAGGAGUAUGUAAGUCGUCAGGAAAGAUGCUAAAAACUAGCAGCUGAUUCGCUAGAUUUUAUGCACUACAGGUGAAGUAACUCAAUCCAGUCCCUGAGGCCUGUUGGGGGGACCAUACCAAGGACUACUGGUGACAGCUAGCAGAAAGAACUACCCGGAUUCAUAUCACACUGCGGGAGGGUAAGACACAUUGGCACUGUUGAACAAUAGAGUUCGAGAGGAGAACUGGAAUUAACAGAAUUCUGGGGGCCAUCUCUCGAAUGAAGAAUACCUUACCUGUCCUUUCCUCACUGUUCUUGUUCAUAGAAGUGAAAAUGUGUCUGACUCUUGCUAAUGAUGUGUUUUCUGGAAGAGGGUGGGGCUUUAUAGGUGAGCUGUCCAUCCUGUGCUGUAUGGUUGGAGAUCUUAAUACCACACCAUGAACCCGAGAAGGCCAGAGGGUAAUAUUGACAUAGUUAAACAAGGAGAAAUUAGUAUUAACCAAGCAUAAGAGAUCACUUGAUCUGGAUAAACAGGAAGUGAGAGUAGGCUGGGGAGGGAUGUCUCAGUGGAGUUCUAUGUAAACCAAGUGGUGUCUGACUCCUUGGCAGUACAGGACUAAGAGUAGCUAUUAUGGAAGACAUAUAUGCAAGUCUCUGUGUAGUUCAUGGAAACAAGUUAUAGCUCACAUCAUGUGAGAAGGCUACAUAAAUCUACAUACCCAGCAUGGAAGGAGAUGGAGUGUAGUGAAAGUAAGGGUUUCAGUUGAUAACCUAGUGCAUUCCAGGUAGAAAAAGUUAGAGCAGCUGGUUGCUCUAUAGGCAGCAGAAUACAAGCAUUGUCCUGGACAAAGCAGAUACUGCCUGUGGAAUUGUCCAGAGCCAAGAGCCGGUGUGGAUAGUUCAGAAAUGGAAUUAUUCACCUAAGGGAACAGCCUGUAUAGUAAAGCUAUUCAUGAAAGCAGGAAAGCCAGAUAACAAUGUGUGGAUUUGCACUAUUUAUAUCCACAUGUUCCUCUAAAAUCUAGGCUUCCUCCUUUCACAGUGAUAAGAGAUUAUUACUGUCUGGCCCGGUAUAGUGCUUAUGGGAAAUAUGUAGGGGAAGUCAGUACCUGCAAUGUGACAGAGAAUAUUACUACUGAUGGGGUGAUGAGUGAUUUGGCAGACUGGUUGAGCUCUGGGGAUUUCAGUAAGAUAAGGAGGCUCAGGGCUCACAUCUGUUGAAUGUGUGGGAGAAUGACAUGAUGGCCGAGUAUUACUGGCUAAUUGAACAGAGGUAUGUGUACUGGUACAUUUUGAGAAUGGCUUUUACACUCAUUGUGUUGACUAAACAGGAGAAAAGAAGUACUCCGUCUGGGUCUUUUGAUGAUAGGGUUUCUAUUAAUAACAUUGUGGUUCCAAGGGUGGCAGAUGAGAUCAAAGCUAUAAAUUAGAUCCUGGCAGGAUUAGAGUCAAGAUUUGUUUUUUUGGUCCACUCUCAAUGAGAAUGUGGAUUGGAUCAAUUAUAUCUAUUAAAAAUCCACAGCGCUUCACCAAUUAUUUUAGAGAUGUAAUGAAUGACUUGGCAGAAUAGAAUAGUCUUGGAUGUUUGCUGGCUGAAGAGGGUGGGGUGUAUAGGUAGUUUGACUCCAGGAUAUACAGUUAGGAUGGACCAGUGACCAAGGCCUUGUCUGGUUUACACACCCUAGUUCACAAGUUGGAAAUAAACUCAGGGGUGGAUACUUCUCUGACUAAAUUGGGUUGACUGUGUGUCUGGAAGAUGGAAAAAUGUUAUGAUCGCUGUGUUAUGGACUAUAUUCACCUGUGUGACUGUGUUAGUUUUGUACGGACGUGGUUGAUUGAGUGUAUGAAAGUUAUCAUUUCCAGGACUCUGGAGAAAUUGAUGACACUUCAGAUGGAGAUAUAUGGACCAAUCCUAAGCUCUGACCAGUGGAAUACAAAAUACAUUGCUUGGACGUAAUAGAAGAAUCCGGAUCCUUUCACUCGCGAGACCAAAUUUGAUGUUUAGGAAAUGUAGAUGUUUUCUUGUUUCAAUGUAUAGACUGUUUUUUCAUGAAGAUUAACAGAAAAUCCUGAUAAGUAGAAUGAAGAUUCUGAUGUAGGUUAAAACAGUCAUGGGCGUUGAUUAUGUACAUAUGAGUAUUGGUUUGUCUUAUUCUUAGGAUAUCAUUGAAGUUUUCUUUUAGUGUUUAAUGAAAGUAUGAAUUGUUUAGUCAUUUUCAGGGUGGAUUGUUGAAUAUAUUAUGGAUAAACAAUAUCCCCGUUUUAAAUAGAAUUGUGUCUAGGUAAACUUAUACUCUGUAUGUUUAAUAGACUAUGAGUUCAUAAGAAGAAAUGUGACAGGAGAAAGGAGUAAUAAAACCAUUUCCAACUGGGCAGGAACUGGGUUGUGGACUGUGUAAACACAUGGUCGUUAGCCUAUGGUUGACCCAACCUGAAACGUAGCUCUGUGGUUUUUAGAUUAGGCAGUGAGUGCAUUCCUAGGGUUUCUGUUAAUUAAACCUGUCAGUUCAGUGGUGAUCGAUAAUGUUGAGGAGUCAAAAGUUAUCUGGGAGUGUGUUAGUAAGGUAGAAUGAACUCUUCACCUUACUUUGUCCUGUCGAGAGGGGGGGGGGGGGGGUUCGUUUAAGACAGUGAAAUGACGUCAUGAUCUGUAUUUAAACUGAGGCAUGUGUUUUGAGUGGGAGCGCGCUCCGAGAAUAAAUUCUAUUACCUAUUAUUUAAA